RNAcentral lists this ribosomal RNA (242 nucleotides) under uncultured eukaryote. RNAcentral describes it as "partial 18S ribosomal RNA". It matches the Rfam family "Eukaryotic small subunit ribosomal RNA", at positions 1299 to 1458 of the family's 1831-position model. The record is from RNAcentral.
UGGUGGAGUGAUUUGUCUGGUUAAUUCCGAUAACGAACGAGACCACCGCCUGCUAAAUAGUACCGCGCAAUGGCUCCGGGCAACAUGGGGCGUGUCGCGGCUUGGAGGUGUGCGGGGCACUUGUGUCUCGCGCAGUGAAAAGCACUGAACGCGCGCGUCUUCCGGAUCGCACCAUUGCGGCACGGGCACUUCUUAGAGGGACUGUACACGCGUCAAGUGUACCGGAAGUGGUGGCAAUAACA